UGGUGGGAUAGGUGGGGAGCUAGGCGUACCCUGUACCACAAAUCGUCUUUAUGGUGGGCUGAAUGCCUCAGGGCGGCGAAAGCGGCUUUUGGGUUCCUGUAUGCGGACGUAGAUGUCUCGCCCCUACAUGAUCCGGGUGUUGAGAACCGUUUCCGGAAGGAAACGGGGACCAAAUAACCGGGGGAACAGGUCAGGCCGGGAACGGAGCAGCCCUACCUGGAGCCAUGGAUGCUGUAGGGACUCGGGACGGAGGAAGUGUACAGAUUUGGCUCAAAAGUACGAGCGUCCACCUGAGGAUUCCCACUU
This 306-nucleotide signal recognition particle RNA is filed under the name Candidatus Poseidoniales archaeon. RNAcentral describes it as "Marine Group II euryarchaeote signal recognition particle sRNA". It matches the Rfam family "Archaeal signal recognition particle RNA". Lineage: Archaea; Methanobacteriati; Thermoplasmatota; Candidatus Poseidoniia; Candidatus Poseidoniales. The record is from RNAcentral.